GAGAUCUUUGGUUUUGCCUUUGCUGACUGCUGAUCUGAUCGUCUCAAGUCUGGUGACCUGCUGCAGAAGCUCUCUCCCUCUAUCAUUAACAAGCCAUUCAGUCUGUCCUAUCACUCUCCCCACUCGAUCUAUUUUGACAAGCCGUUCUAUCUUGCUUCACUCUAUCCCACAAGCUCUAUCUAAGUUAUCAAAAAUCACGUUUUUAACUGGAAUCAAAUUUUGAAUGGAAUCAAGUUUUGUCUGGCGAAAUCAAGUUUUGACAUGGCCCCAAUUUUUGGGAAAUUGAAGUUACCAGUACUUCAUCGAUCUGUUAUAGAAUUCUGAGAGAUCUCUGCUCUCACUGCUCCUUCUUUCCUAUCGUUAAACUCUCUCACAUCCAGUCUUUUUGCUGGAAAUUACAAGUAGAAAGUUGAAAUUACAAUAGUAGAAUUACAGUACAGUAGAAACUAUUUACACAGCUGUAGAUUUGUCAUUUUAAUUUUUACUUGGAACACUUUGGAAUAAACACUGAUAGUUUGGCUUAGAGGUGCAAUUACUUUGAUACAUUAUAUAAAAUUUACACCUUAAAGGUUUUUUGUAAUAAGAUAAACUUGUUAUUUUAUACGACACAUUCAGACUGCUGUAUUCACUAAAAUAUUAAAUUAGAUAACUUCAGAUACAUUUUGCUAGUCUGUUUCAUUGUCAGUAACAUUUGACUAUAGUAGGGUUAUACUAUUAUUAUUUAGGGACAUUUCUGUUACUCAGUGUAAGUGUUCAGACACAAUUGCCAUCGAGAAGCUGCCUUGAGGACCCAGACUUCCUGUUUCCUGACUGCUGCAGAACAUCCAGCUGAAGAAUCCUCAUCGCCUGUCAUUUGAUCUGUUUAUAUUUGCUUUACAUUUUAGAUAUCUGAAAGAUUUACACAAAGUAUACUUCAAAGCUAAGAGUUUUAUUAUAGCCUGUUGAUUAUUGUGAUUUAUUCUAUACAUCCCUUUACAGAAGCUAAGAUCUAGUCAUUAACAAGUCUGGUUAAAAUAUCAGAAGUAAAAAUAUUCUGGUUUGGAAAAAGCUACAAUAAAACUGAGCAAAGUGUUUUCAAAGAACUGAAUAUCUUUUAUAUUGAGUUUGGAUUAAAGUCAACCUUCUACAUCUAUUUACAUAUUUAUAAAAACAUUGGAACAUUUUUUAUAUUUAUAUUGACAUUUUUUCAGAUUUAAUACUAACUUGAAGAGUUAUUAGUUCUUCACUGUUUCCAGGUUGAGUUUUGUUGAUAUCUUUGUAUAAAUACGUAUAACCUUCAGUUUGUACUCAAUAAAAUGCCGAGAAAAGGUCAAAGGUCGCAGUCCCAGAAGCUUAGAUGGCAAAAGCAGAAAGAACAGUUAAAUGUUUCUCAGAGCGGUGAGCAGGUAAAGGUGUCUGUUACAACUAUUCCCAGUCCUAAAGUGCAGAGCAGUGUUCAGACAGCCACAGUCACUUAUUCAGAUGUGGUAAAGAGACGUGUACAAUCAGUGUCUGUGCCAAAUGCUAAAGUGCAGCAGGUAAUCCAGACUGAACCGCAGGUAACUGUGCAAACGCAGCAUGAUGGAGAAGCUCCAGGACCGUCUCAUGUACAAGUUACAAACAGUGAAAGUCGUCCACGAGUGAGCAGCAUCUGUGCAUCCCGAAGCCAGGCCUCUCCUAGGUAUGGAAAGUACAGGAAUCAGCAAUGCAUGGUGAACAGUUUGGUUUUCCUGUCAUUCUUACAUGAGGAUGAAUUCAUUACCAGAGCAGAUCUUAACCGUGUGUUGGACAAAGGCCAUGCCGUGUAUUCAGAUGCCAGAAAGAGGUUUGUGAGCAGCGUGUUUCUAGCCUGCGAUGAGCUUCCCACAGUGGUCACCAGCCGUAGACACGAGUAUCAAGUGGACAUGUCUCAGUUUGCUCGUUAUGGCACAUUUGAUAGUACAGAUCACCUUCCGAGCCUUGAACAGGGACUACAGUGUUUGGAUUCAGACGUUCGCUAUGCUUUGCUAGUCAUGGGAGGAACAGUCAUUGCAGUUUGCAGGCUGACUUCAGGUGAAUACGCAUAUUUUGA
Long non-coding RNA from Oreochromis aureus, 2050 nucleotides. RefSeq lists it as uncharacterized. NCBI's taxonomy places the organism in Eukaryota, Metazoa, Chordata, Actinopteri, Cichliformes, Cichlidae. The record is from RefSeq and is a predicted model, not a curated record. The transcript has 3 exons.